GGGUUGUGAGGUUAAGCGACUAAGCGUACACGGUGGAUGCCCUGGCAGUCAGAGGCGAUGAAGGACGUGCUAAUCUGCGAUAAGCGUCGGUAAGGUGAUAUGAACCGUUAUAACCGGCGAUUUCCGAAUGGGGAAACCCAGUGUGUUUCGACACACUAUCAUUAACUGAAU
RNAcentral lists this ribosomal RNA (171 nucleotides) under Escherichia coli. RNAcentral describes it as "partial 23S ribosomal RNA". It matches the Rfam family "Bacterial large subunit ribosomal RNA", at positions 1 to 163 of the family's 2925-position model. Lineage: Bacteria; Pseudomonadati; Pseudomonadota; Gammaproteobacteria; Enterobacterales; Enterobacteriaceae. RNAcentral also lists the same sequence under 1 other name. The record is from RNAcentral.